Molecule: ribosomal RNA, 460 nt
Filed under: uncultured bacterium
Lineage: Bacteria
Description: partial 16S ribosomal RNA
Rfam family: Bacterial small subunit ribosomal RNA
Source: RNAcentral
CCUACGGGUGGCUGCAGUGAGGAAUAUUGGUCAAUGGACGCAAGUCUGAACCAGCCAUGCCGCGUGCAGGAAGACGGCUCUAUGAGUUGUAAACUGCUUUUGUACGAGGGUAAACGCAGAUACGCGUAUCUGUCUGAAAGUAUCGUACGAAUAAGGAUCGGCUAACUCCGUGCCAGCAGCCGCGGUAAUACGGAGGAUUCAAGCGUUAUCCGGAUUUAUUGGGUUUAAGGGGUGCGUAGGCGGUUCGAUAAGUUAGAGGUGAAAUCCCGGGGCUCAACUCCGGCACUGCCUCUGAUACUGGCGGGCUAGAGUAUAGGUGCGGUAAGCGGAAUGUAUGGUGUAGCAGUGAAAUGCAUAGAGAUCAUACAGAACACCGAUUGCGAAGGCAGCUUACCAAACUACGACUGACGUUGAGGCACGAAAGCGUGGGGAGCAAACAGGAUUAGAUACCCGAGUAGUC